RNAcentral lists this long non-coding RNA (1032 nucleotides) under Heterocephalus glaber (naked mole-rat). RNAcentral's name for it is "lncRNA (ENSHGLG00100041571.1)". The record is from RNAcentral. Lineage: Eukaryota; Metazoa; Chordata; Mammalia; Rodentia; Bathyergidae.
CGCGGGCGGAGGCUUCCGGGGCUGGGGGCGGUGCCACGUGCAGUGCCGGCGGCGCACGGCAGAGGGCGUAGAGGAGCUACCGCCGCCCUCCCGGAUCCCCACGGCGCGGUCCGCGACGCCCGCCCUGCCGCCGCCUGGCCGAAGCCUCUCCAAGGCCAAGGCCACCCUCGGCCCCGCCCCGCCGCAACCGCCGCCCCGGAGUGUCGGUCGAAGAUCACCCUAGGCCCACGCCCUCUGCCCGCCCCGGACGCGCCACCCCCUUCCUGGGCCUCCCUCCCUCCUUCCGCUCCAGAUUGGUUUUCUGUUGUCCAGACUUCCAUCCGCCAGGGAUUCUCUUUUGACAUCCAUUCAGGUCAGCCCCACAUUUCUCCCUGGAGCUCUGAGAGUCUUCCAGAAAAAGUUCCUGAGGAGAGCUCACUGCUGGAGGUCUUGGUCUCUCACACCCUUGGAGCUCAUCUACCCAAGUGAGGCUGAGUGCCCUCCGCCAGUGCAGACAGACCCAGUCCGUGUUGAUGCAAAACCAGGUCUCUGUGACCAAGAGGAAAAGACCAAGGAGUCCUGGAGAUGACCUAGUUCACAGGCUCUCUCUCUUUGUUCAUGCUCCUGUUUCGGCCAGUUCGUAUGAAGAAAAUGAGGCCCAGGAUGGACCUUGUUCUAUCUGGAAAAAGACAGAAAAGGGACCUUAGGACUGGAAAGGCAACUAUAGGAGCAGCACCCCCUGGUGGCGUUGGGGACCCAAGAAAGCAAAACAUCGGUGUUCAUCCCCAGGAUGAAGCAGGCUGCCUUGUCUGAGCCUGGGGUCUUCGCCAGAGGUGCACCUCAUCAAAGCCCCUGAGAUGCCCCUCCAGGGCCUGGUCCCUGCAGGAGAAACCAAGCUCUAAGGCAGAGGCAAAGGAGCCACACAGCUGCACCCUGCAAGCCUUCUGGAGUCCUUGUCAGCUGUGUCCCUCAUAAGUCAUUCAAGGAGACCUUGUGGGUUCCAAGCUUGGGUCAUUUAAGUGGUUGUUGUCGCAUAAACAUGGCUUUCCAAGG